This 425-nucleotide long non-coding RNA is filed under the name Capra hircus (goat). RNAcentral describes it as "lncRNA (ENSCHIG00000000558.1)". The record is from RNAcentral. Lineage: Eukaryota; Metazoa; Chordata; Mammalia; Artiodactyla; Bovidae.
GCCCGGGGCUGAGGUCUGGCUCACGGGUCUCGCGUUCCGUGCAGCUUCAGAUCGCAGCGCGCUCCCUGACGCACCGACGGGGCAGCCAUGAGCACGUGGGUAUUACGAUUCAAAAGGGAAACAGACGGCAAAGUGGGCGGGCACGCUCCAGGGGACUGCAGGGUCAGACUGGGUGCUCUGCAGGUCGGACUGCACGGUCUAGGGCUUUCGUUUCCAGGACCUGCUGCCUCUCCUGGUGAGAAGACUGUGCUGCCCCACUGACGAGUCACUGGCCUUGCUCGGGCCGUCGGCCUGUGCGUGGAGAUGGCAGGGGCCGCUUCUCGGGGAGAGUUUGGAGCCAGCGUGUUAUCUGCCACGUGUACCCUCUUUCCCCUCUGUCACUGAGCUCUGACCACCCUGUGAUGGAUGUGGGAAUUCAGGGAAGU